This 253-nucleotide ribosomal RNA is filed under the name uncultured bacterium. RNAcentral's name for it is "partial 16S ribosomal RNA". It matches the Rfam family "Bacterial small subunit ribosomal RNA", at positions 524 to 776 of the family's 1533-position model. The record is from RNAcentral.
UACGUAGGGUGCAAGCGUUGUCCGGAAUUAUUGGGCGUAAAGAGCUCGUAGGCGGUUUGUUGCGUCGGCUGUGAAAUCCCGAGGCUCAACCUCGGGUCUGCAGUCGAUACGAGCAAACUAGAGUGUUGCAGGGGAGACUGGAAUUCCUGGUGUAGCGGUGAAAUGCGCAGAUAUCAGGAGGAACACCGGUGGCGAAGGCGGGUCUCUGGGCAACAACUGACGCUGAGGAGCGAAAGCAUGGGGAGCGAACAGG